RNAcentral lists this ribosomal RNA (391 nucleotides) under uncultured bacterium. Its description in RNAcentral is "bacterial SSU rRNA". It matches the Rfam family "Bacterial small subunit ribosomal RNA", at positions 29 to 408 of the family's 1533-position model. The record is from RNAcentral.
AACGAACGCUGGCGGCGCGCUUAAUACAUGCAAGUCGAACGAGAAGGUGUAGCAAUACACUUGUAAAGUGGCGAACGGGUGAGGAAUACAUGGGUAACCUACCCUCGAGUGGGGAACGAACCAGCCGAAAGGUUGGCUAAUACCGCGUACGCUUCCGGGUCUUCGGAUUCGGAAGGAAAGUCAUACCGUGGGUAUGACGCUCAAGGAUGGGCUCAUGUCCUAUCAGCUUGUUGGUAGGGUAACGGCCUACCAAGGCUCCGACGGGUAGCUGGUCUGAGAGGACGAUCAGCCACACUGGCACUGCGACACGGGCCAGACUCCUACGGGAGGCAGCAGUAAGGAAUAUUGCGCAAUGGGCGAAAGCCUGACGCAGCGACGCCGCCGUGGGGGA